RNAcentral lists this ribosomal RNA (2561 nucleotides) under Escherichia coli. RNAcentral describes it as "partial 23S ribosomal RNA". It matches the Rfam family "Bacterial large subunit ribosomal RNA", at positions 396 to 2925 of the family's 2925-position model. The record is from RNAcentral. Lineage: Bacteria; Pseudomonadati; Pseudomonadota; Gammaproteobacteria; Enterobacterales; Enterobacteriaceae.
AUUGUGAGCUCGAUGAGUAGGGCGGGACACGUGGUAUCCUGUCUGAAUAUGGGGGGACCAUCCUCCAAGGCUAAAUACUCCUGACUGACCGAUAGUGAACCAGUACCGUGAGGGAAAGGCGAAAAGAACCCCGGCGAGGGGAGUGAAAAAGAACCUGAAACCGUGUACGUACAAGCAGUGGGAGCCUCUUAAUGGGGUGACUGCGUACCUUUUGUAUAAUGGGUCAGCGACUUAUAUUCUGUAGCAAGGUUAACCGAAUAGGGGAGCCGAAGGGAAACCGAGUCUUAACUGGGCGCUAAGUUGCAGGGUAUAGACCCGAAACCCGGUGAUCUAGCCAUGGGCAGGUUGAAGGUUGGGUAACACUAACUGGAGGACCGAACCGACUAAUGUUGAAAAAUUAGCGGAUGACUUGUGGCUGGGGGUGAAAGGCCAAUCAAACCGGGAGAUAGCUGGUUCUCCCCGAAAGCUAUUUAGGUAGCGCCUCGUGAAUUCAUCUCCGGGGGUAGAGCACUGUUUCGGCAAGGGGGUCAUCCCGACUUACCAACCCGAUGCAAACUGCGAAUACCGGAGAAUGUUAUCACGGGAGACACACGGCGGGUGCUAACGUCCGUCGUGAAGAGGGAAACAACCCAGACCGCCAGCUAAGGUCCCAAAGUCAUGGUUAAGUGGGAAACGAUGUGGGAAGGCCCAGACAGCCAGGAUGUUGGCUUAGAAGCAGCCAUCAUUUAAAGAAAGCGUAAUAGCUCACUGGUCGAGUCGGCCUGCGCGGAAGAUGUAACGGGGCUAAACCAUGCACCGAAGCUGCGGCAGCGACACUAUGUGUUGUUGGGUAGGGGAGCGUUCUGUAAGCCUGUGAAGGUGGCCUGUGAGGGUUGCUGGAGGUAUCAGAAGUGCGAAUGCUGACAUAAGUAACGAUAAAGCGGGUGAAAAGCCCGCUCGCCGGAAGACCAAGGGUUCCUGUCCAACGUUAAUCGGGGCAGGGUGAGUCGACCCCUAAGGCGAGGCCGAAAGGCGUAGUCGAUGGGAAACAGGUUAAUAUUCCUGUACUUGGUGUUACUGCGAAGGGGGGACGGAGAAGGCUAUGUUGGCCGGGCGACGGUUGUCCCGGUUUAAGCGUGUAGGCUGGUUUUCCAGGCAAAUCCGGAAAACCAAGGCUGAGGCGUGAUGACGAGGCACUACGGUGCUGAAGCGACAAAUGCCCUGCUUCCAGGAAAAGCCUCUAAGCAUCAGGUAACAUCAAAUCGUACCCCAAACCGACACAGGUGGUCAGGUAGAGAAUACCAAGGCGCUUGAGAGAACUCGGGUGAAGGAACUAGGCAAAAUGGUGCCGUAACUUCGGGAGAAGGCACGCUGAUAUGUAGGUGAAGCGACUUGCUCGUGGAGCUGAAAUCAGUCGAAGAUACCAGCUGGCUGCAACUGUUUAUUAAAAACACAGCACUGUGCAAACACGAAAGUGGACGUAUACGGUGUGACGCCUGCCCGGUGCCGGAAGGUUAAUUGAUGGGGUUAGCGGUAACGCGAAGCUCUUGAUCGAAGCCCCGGUAAACGGCGGCCGUAACUAUAACGGUCCUAAGGUAGCGAAAUUCCUUGUCGGGUAAGUUCCGACCUGCACGAAUGGCGUAAUGAUGGCCAGGCUGUCUCCACCCGAGACUCAGUGAAAUUGAACUCGCUGUGAAGAUGCAGUGUACCCGCGGCAAGACGGAAAGACCCCGUGAACCUUUACUAUAGCUUGACACUGAACAUUGAGCCUUGAUGUGUAGGAUAGGUGGGAGGCUUUGAAGUGUGGACGCCAGUCUGCAUGGAGCCGACCUUGAAAUACCACCCUUUAAUGUUUGAUGUUCUAACGUUGGCCCCUAAUCGGGGUUGCGGACAGUGUCUGGUGGGUAGUUUGACUGGGGCGGUCUCCUCCUAAAGAGUAACGGAGGAGCACGAAGGUUGGCUAAUCCUGGUCGGACAUCAGGAGGUUAGUGCAAUGGCAUAAGCCAGCUUGACUGCGAGCGUGACGGCGCGAGCAGGUGCGAAAGCAGGUCAUAGUGAUCCGGUGGUUCUGAAUGGAAGGGCCAUCGCUCAACGGAUAAAAGGUACUCCGGGGAUAACAGGCUGAUACCGCCCAAGAGUUCAUAUCGACGGCGGUGUUUGGCACCUCGAUGUCGGCUCAUCACAUCCUGGGGCUGAAGUAGGUCCCAAGGGUAUGGCUGUUCGCCAUUUAAAGUGGUACGCGAGCUGGGUUUAGAACGUCGUGAGACAGUUCGGUCCCUAUCUGCCGUGGGCGCUGGAGAACUGAGGGGGGCUGCUCCUAGUACGAGAGGACCGGAGUGGACGCAUCACUGGUGUUCGGGUUGUCAUGCCAAUGGCACUGCCCGGUAGCUAAAUGCGGAAGAGAUAAGUGCUGAAAGCAUCUAAGCACGAAACUUGCCCCGAGAUGAGUUCUCCCUGAGACUUAGAGUCUCCUGAAGGAACGUUGAAGACGACGACGUUGAUAGGCCGGGUGUGUAAGCGCAGCGAUGCGUUGAGCUAACCGGUACUAAUGAACCGUGAGGCUUAACCUUACAACGCCGAAG